This 979-nucleotide ribosomal RNA is filed under the name Escherichia coli. RNAcentral describes it as "bacterial LSU rRNA". It matches the Rfam family "Bacterial large subunit ribosomal RNA", at positions 458 to 1436 of the family's 2925-position model. The record is from RNAcentral. Lineage: Bacteria; Pseudomonadati; Pseudomonadota; Gammaproteobacteria; Enterobacterales; Enterobacteriaceae.
CUCCAAGGCUAAAUACUCCUGACUGACCGAUAGUGAACCAGUACCGUGAGGGAAAGGCGAAAAGAACCCCGGCGAGGGGAGUGAAAAAGAACCUGAAACCGUGUACGUACAAGCAGUGGGAGCACGCUUAGGCGUGUGACUGCGUACCUUUUGUAUAAUGGGUCAGCGACUUAUAUUCUGUAGCAAGGUUAACCGAAUAGGGGAGCCGAAGGGAAACCGAGUCUUAACUGGGCGUUAAGUUGCAGGGUAUAGACCCGAAACCCGGUGAUCUAGCCAUGGGCAGGUUGAAGGUUGGGUAACACUAACUGGAGGACCGAACCGACUAAUGUUGAAAAAUUAGCGGAUGACUUGUGGCUGGGGGUGAAAGGCCAAUCAAACCGGGAGAUAGCUGGUUCUCCCCGAAAGCUAUUUAGGUAGCGCCUCGUGAAUUCAUCUCCGGGGGUAGAGCACUGUUUCGGCAAGGGGGUCAUCCCGACUUACCAACCCGAUGCAAACUGCGAAUACCGGAGAAUGUUAUCACGGGAGACACACGGCGGGUGCUAACGUCCGUCGUGAAGAGGGAAACAACCCAGACCGCCAGCUAAGGUCCCAAAGUCAUGGUUAAGUGGGAAACGAUGUGGGAAGGCCCAGACAGCCAGGAUGUUGGCUUAGAAGCAGCCAUCAUUUAAAGAAAGCGUAAUAGCUCACUGGUCGAGUCGGCCUGCGCGGAAGAUGUAACGGGGCUAAACCAUGCACCGAAGCUGCGGCAGCGACGCUGAUGCGUUGUUGGGUAGGGGAGCGUUCUGUAAGCCUGUGAAGGUGUGCUGUGAGGCAUGCUGGAGGUAUCAGAAGUGCGAAUGCUGACAUAAGUAACGAUAAAGCGGGUGAAAAGCCCGCUCGCCGGAAGACCAAGGGUUCCUGUCCAACGUUAAUCGGGGCAGGGUGAGUCGACCCCUAAGGCGAGGCCGAAAGGCGUAGUCGAUGGGAAACAGGUUAAUAU